CCUACGGGAGGCAGCAGUGGGGAAUCUUGCACAAUGGAGGAAACUCUGAUGCAGCGAUGCCGCGUGAGUGAAGAAGGCCUUUGGGUUGUAAAGCUCUUUUGUAGGGGAAGAUAAUGACUGUACCCUAAGAAUAAGGUCCGGCUAACUUCGUGCCAGCAGCCGCGGUAAUACGAAGGGACCUAGCGUAGUUCGGAAUUACUGGGCGUAAAGCGCGCGUAGGCCGUUGAGUUAGUUAAUUGUGAAAUCCCAAAGCUUAACUUUGGAACUGCAAUUAAAACUGCUCGACUAGAGUUUGGUAGAGGAAAGCGGAAUACAUAGUGUAGAGGUGAAAUUCGUAGAUAUUAUGUAGAACACCAGUUGCGAAGGCGGCUUUCUGGAUCAACACUGACGCUGAGGCGCGAAAGUAUGGGUAGCAAAGAGGAUUAGAUACCCUCGUAGUCCAUACCAUAAACGAUGAUUGCUAGAUGUUGGAAAUUUAUUUUCAGUAUCGCAGCUAACGCAUUAAGCAAUCCGCCUGGGGAGUACGACCGCAAGGUUAAAACUCAAAGGAAUUGACGGCUGAGAGNGCGAGACGACACGAGGAGAGG
RNAcentral lists this ribosomal RNA (587 nucleotides) under uncultured bacterium. RNAcentral's name for it is "bacterial SSU rRNA". It matches the Rfam family "Bacterial small subunit ribosomal RNA", at positions 338 to 944 of the family's 1533-position model. The record is from RNAcentral.